UACGAAGGGGGCUAGCGUUGCUCGGAAUCACUGGGCGUAAAGCGCACGUAGGCGGAUUGCUAAGUCAGGGGUGAAAUCCUGGAGCUCAACUCCAGAACUGCCUUUGAUACUGGCGAUCUCGAGUUCGGGAGAGGUGAGUGGAACUGCGAGUGUAGAGGUGAAAUUCGUAGAUAUUGGGAAGAACACCGGUGGCGAAGGCGGCUCUCUGGACCGAUACUGACGCUGAGGCGCGAAAGCGUGGGGAGCAAACAGG
Molecule: ribosomal RNA, 253 nt
Filed under: uncultured bacterium
Lineage: Bacteria
Description: partial 16S ribosomal RNA
Rfam family: Bacterial small subunit ribosomal RNA
Source: RNAcentral